AAAGAAUCCAACUCAAUCCAAGUCUUGAUGGAUCCUGAACUAAAGCAUAAUGGUUCAACCCGAAUGACUAAACAAACCUAAGGCGGUUCAUCUCGAAUCAAAUACAAAAGAUUCGAGCCAAACCAAAACCCAGAGUCCACAAAUAAACCCAAAAUCCAAAGUCCACAAAUAAACCAAAAACCCAAAGUCCACAAACAAAACCUCAAAACCCAAAACAACCAAAUUCAAACGACCGAAAAGUCGUUAAACUAAACCCAAAUUUCAAACGACCGAAAAGUCGUUAAACUAAACCCAAAUUUCAAACGACUGAAAUGUCGCUAAACUAGACCCAAAUUUCAAACGACCGAAAAGUCGUUAAACUAAACCCAAUUUUCAAACGACCGAAAAGUCGUUAAAUUAAACCCAAAUUUCAAACGACCGAAAAGUCGUUAAACUAAACCCAAAAUCAAACGACCGAAAAGUCGUUAAACUAAACCCAAAUUUCAAACGACCAAAAAGUCGUUAAACUAAAUCCAAAUUUCAAACGACCGAAAAGUCGUUAAACUAAACCCAAAUCCAAACGACCGAAAAGUCGUUAAACUAAACCCAAAUUUCUUGAACCAUGAACCAAGUCCGUACACCAUAUCCAUGAACCAUAUCCAAGUUUAUGAACAAAGUCCAUACACCAAACCCAUGAACCAUAUCCAAGUUCAUGAACCAAAUCCAUACACCAAAUCCAUGAACCAUAUCCAAGUUCGUGAACCAAGUCCAUACACCAAAUCUAUGAACCAUAUCCAAGUUCAUGAACCAAGUCCAUACACCAAAUUCAUUAAUCAUAUCCAAAUUUAUGAACCAAAUCUCAUGAGCCAAUACUCAAAUCUCAUGAACCAAUACCCAAAUCUCAUCAUGAACUUUUUUUUUUACUCUGGCACAUAUACCUAGAGUAAAAAUUAAAUAUCGACUACCCCUAAUACAUAUACUUA
RNAcentral lists this long non-coding RNA (962 nucleotides) under Ananas comosus (pineapple). RNAcentral's name for it is "long non-coding RNA (ACOM_LNC040883)". The record is from RNAcentral. Lineage: Eukaryota; Viridiplantae; Streptophyta; Magnoliopsida; Poales; Bromeliaceae.